Molecule: long non-coding RNA, 1040 nt
Organism: Cucurbita moschata (crookneck pumpkin)
Lineage: Eukaryota; Viridiplantae; Streptophyta; Magnoliopsida; Cucurbitales; Cucurbitaceae
Exons: 2
Source: RefSeq, a predicted model, not a curated record
CAAAAUCCUCUGAAGUACUUGGUGUGUGCCAUGGGUUGGGUUACUGUCCAAAUGAAAUUCUGGCUGGUUGAUGCAAAAUUAUUGCUGUCGAAGGCAUCGUCGGAGAAGCGGCUGUACACGUUUAUUAGCGUCGGAAGUCAGAGGAGCGGUUGUCGUCGUGGUUUUCUUUAGUCGGAGGAGCGGCUUGCGGGCCGUGCAGGUGUGGGAUCGGAGGGGCGACUGUCAUUUUGGUCUUCUACGGUCGUGGCUGUCGUUGGAGGAGCGGUAGUCCCAGCGAUUCAUGGCGCCAGAAGUUGCGGCUCUUUGUCUUUUGGAAUGUUGCUCGCGACUCUUGUCUUCCCCACCUCGGCACGAUGCAAGAAGUCGCAACUCUUCGUCUUCCAAAAGUUGCAACUCUUCGCCUUCCAAAAGUUGCGACUUUGUUGGGAGGCAACAGCGACGACAUCAAGACGGCGGUUUUGGAAGUCGUGACUCUCUCUACACCUAAAAAAAAGUUUUCUGUCCCUAUGGCAUUGUUAAACAAAGCAGACUCAUUGACUUGGCUCCCUAGUGCUAACGGGGUCUUUUCUACAAAAUCCUUGAUGAUGGACAUGGGAAAAAAGUAGAAGCAAUAAAUCCCACCCUAGCAAAGACGGAAUGGAAAGGAUGUCAACCUAAAAAGGUGAAGUUCUUCCUCUGGGAAAUAGACCUAAAGCCGUUAGCACAAGUGAAAAUCUUAAAAAAAAAAAAAAAAAGAAUGUCUUACAUCACUCUUUCUCCAAAUUGGUGUCCAUUAUACAAGAAAGAAAACGAAUCACAAAACCACUUGUUUAUGCAAUGCACAUACACUCAGAAUUUCUGGAUAAAGAUUCUCAAUAUAUUCGGAUGACAUCUCAUAUUUCUUAGGGAGAUAAUGAUUUUUUGGAUAUAGCCUUAACGUAUCGCCCUUUCAAGAAUGCAAAAGAUACCCUUUCAAGAAUGCAAAAGACCUAUUAUUGGAAAAACCUCAUCAUGGCUUUCUUUUGGAAUAGGUGGAAAGAAAGAAAUUAGAGAAUAUUUGU